UACGUAGGGUGCGAGCGUUAAUCGGAAUUACUGGGCGUAAAGCGUGCGCAGGCGGUGAUGUAAGACAGAUGUGAAAUCCCCGGGCUCAACCUGGGAACUGCAUUUGUGACUGCAUCGCUAGAGUACGGCAGAGGGGGAUGGAAUUCCGCGUGUAGCAGUGAAAUGCGUAGAUAUGCGGAGGAACACCGAUGGCGAAGGCAAUCCCCUGGGCCUGUACUGACGCUCAUGCACGAAAGCGUGGGGAGCAAACAGG
RNAcentral lists this ribosomal RNA (253 nucleotides) under uncultured bacterium. RNAcentral describes it as "partial 16S ribosomal RNA". It matches the Rfam family "Bacterial small subunit ribosomal RNA", at positions 524 to 776 of the family's 1533-position model. The record is from RNAcentral.